Molecule: long non-coding RNA, 203 nt
Filed under: Medicago truncatula (barrel medic)
Lineage: Eukaryota; Viridiplantae; Streptophyta; Magnoliopsida; Fabales; Fabaceae
Description: long non-coding RNA (MTRU_LNC002240)
Source: RNAcentral
AAGCCUCAACCGCAAAUCAGAUCCAAAUUCCCAAUUCCAAUUCCAAAUUCUAACCCUAAUUCAAAAAUCGAAUUUCAAUUCCAAUUCCAAUUUCAAACAAACCCUGACCCUAAUUCCCAAUUCCAAAAUCCCCAAAUUGAAUUUCCCAAUUCCUAAAUUCGUUCUUGUUUUGGGAGAAGGAAAGACAAGGAAGGAAUAAAGUU